GCUAAGAAAAGUUGGGCAUAGAAAAUAAGACACAAAACUUCAGGCAUUUUUAAGAUCCUCGAGGUCCCUCCCCAAGAUUAUGAAAUCAGUAAGCAAUUGCUGAGAAGAACUGCUUGAGAAUCCGUCAGGGAUCCAGCUCUAGGAAUGCAGUUUUUAGAAGUUGUCACCUAUGCUGAGGUGAUGCAACUACACAGAAAUUCAUGUUCUUCAACCAUGCUCUUAAAAGUAACUACAGUGAACCAUUGGCUCACCAAGCUGGACUUGGAUGCAACUGUCUCUUUGGUCUGUUGUCAGCGUUCUGCCUAGAAAGAAUGAAUAUUCAUGCAUUUCUCCCAGGAAAACUAACAAAACAAUAGGAAAUGAAUGGCUGGCAGAAACAGAGAGCCCAACAACAGAACAAUGCACAUAAAACAUACUCACGUGACAGAUGGAGUAAUAACUGAAACAAGUUUGAAGGGCCCAAAACUGGAACUCUGUGAGGGUCGGAAGAUUAAAGUCAAGGGUAAGAAACCAAGUGGUAGGCAACCAGGACUGACUAGACAGCCCCAAAGAAUAAAACCCAGGCUAUACUGAAAAUGGUAUGAAAAAAAGCUGUAGAGAAAUUUUAAUUCAGCGAUAUGGCUGCUCUGGCAAAGGAUCACAUCCAAAGACCUUCUAGGUCUCUGUGAUCCAGCUGGAAUGGUACACCUUUAAUACGUCUGGUUGGAAUACAGACAUACCCUAGUACACACUGUUAGUCCCAAACAAUGAAGGGAACAUUAGUUUAUAGAAGAAAACAGCCAAGUUUCAAAGUCAUGUCUUAUUGAGGGGUAGACAAAGUGAUGAAAUCAGAGAAAGAUUUGAUAGAAUGAGUCAGAGAUAGGAUACUCCCAACUCUCAUGAGCACAGACAAAAAAGGGGGGCUAAUUAAGAAAGAAGUACAAAGAGAGAAAGAGAAUCAGAGAAAGACAUACAGAAACAGAGAAGGAAGGGGGGGAGGGGCAGAAGGGACAGAGAAAGAGAAAGAAAAAGAAAGAGGCUGUUCUACCAGGACAGGUUGCAGCUGAAGACAGAUAAACCAGAGAAUGCAGAGCCAGGAGAUUAGAACAGAUUACCAGUUAGUCUGAGGCCAAGCUAAACAAUUCAGUCAGAAGCAAGAAGCCAGUUUAAAUCAGUUAGCUUAGAGAGGAUUUUGGGCCAGAACAGCUGAGUUGAACCAGCCAAAGUGCCAAAGUUCAGAAAGAACUAGAAACCAUGAGCUUAUUCAGCAGUAAGACUCCUAGAAAACAAUUACAUCUGGAAAAAAAAACAGCAAAAAACAAACAAACAAACAAACAACACUUACAAAGAGCAGGACAGGUUACAGCCCACAAUGAUGAAAAUGAUUACCUGCCCUGUCAAUGACUGUCUAUGGAGCCUGACAGAACAACUACACAUAGAAAUCACAACAGAAGACAGAAAAUUAAAUGGUCCUGAAAGUACCCAUGAGAAAAAUAUGAAAAUGGAUCUCCCUUAUUCACAUGUAAAUAACCAAUUCAGGAUAUAUUAACAAUGCAAAUAUGAAGUACAGCUAGCAAGGUAAAUAUGAAAGGGUUUCUUAAUCUUUUGAUUACAUGUAAGCUGAGAACUUCUAUGCAUCAUAGAAAGAAACCACAGUAACUAAACUUUCAGGGCUGGCAAGAUGGCUCAGAGUCUUUCUAUCAAGCCUCAUGGCCUGAGUUUAGUCUCUGAGAUCUACAUGGUGGAUAAAAAGGAACAAUUCCUGCAAGUUGUCCUCUGACCUACACACACAGGCCUGGACAUAUGAAUGUAAUAAAAAAAUUUAAAGAAAAUAAAGAACACCAAAGACAAGCUAUAAACUGAGAAAUGCCUGUAAACAAAAACCUAAUUAAAGAUUACUAUCUAAGGUAUGUAAGAAUGCUUACAAGGGCUGAGAAGAUAGGUCAGUCAGUCAAGUAUUUGCCUUGCAAGAACAAGUACCUGAGACUAAUGCCUAGAACUCAUGGAAAAAAGUCAGAUAUGAUUAUGCAGCCCCAUGUGCAGUAGAGGCCCAUGAAAGAACAAUCUCAAAAACAAAACCAAAGAAAUGGGGUUGGGGAGUGGGUGAAAAGACAGAGCCAAAAACAAGAGCUUAAAAUGUGCUCUGGUCUCUACUCAGGCACACACAACACUUUAAUGCAUGUUAACACAUAUUUACAUGUACACAUAAGACACAAACACUGUACAAGUAAUAAGAAAAAGAUAAUUCAACAAGCAAACAGAUAAACUCUUGACUGGAAUUUCACAGAAGGAAAUGGAUACAAUGGACAAAUAAAUGGAGAAAUGCAAUAUGUCAUUGUCUACAAUAAAACACAACUUCACACCACAGGAUUCCAUUUUAAAGUUCUUAAAAUACUAAAAACUAGAAGAUCAGCAUGAGAUAUUGGCAAGAAACACAGAACGGGAACAUAUCUAAUAGAUUUCACAUAGGUAUACAAGUGGUAAAGUCCUCCUCAAUACUAAAUUGAUAUUACCAUGUGAAGUUGAACACUCAUAUGCUCCUCUAUAGGCAAUUCUCAGUUUUAUAAUAAAAUUACUUUUAUACGUCUACUUUAAGAAUAACCAUCCUACAUAAUAAAAACAAGAACAUUAAACCUAUUCAAAUAUACCUUGACAAAAAACAGUUAUAUAAACUGUGCUAAUUUACAUAAUGAAGUUAUAGAGUAGUGAGAGUGAAGGAACUGUAGCUGUAGGCAGUGGCAUGAAUGAAUCUUGGAAAUGUACCAGUGACUGGGGCUAAAGCGAGACUUCUGAGUAGUAACAUCUUCCUCACACUCAGCCCCACACUAAUACUUAGUAUUGUGUCACCAAGAAAUUCUCCUAAUCCUAUCAGCAAACUAAGAAAAAAGGUUUUUGUUUGUUCAGUGGUUACUACGACCUCAUCUUUUGCUACUAAUUUUCUUUGAAAAUACCAUGAUUUCUAUGACUGAAAAAGAAAAUAAAAAAUGUAAUUUGGCUGAUGGAUCUCAAAAGCUUAUAAAGCAAACAGAAAAUUAAAUGGUGCACAUCUGAGAGCCGCUAACAUCCAAGGAGGCUACCAAAUGACAAAUCGUCGCUGGACAUUUUUGCAAUUUUCUGUUGUAAGUCUGAAUUUACAUCAUUUACAUAAUGUGAGGCUUCCAUGUGGCCUUUGUGUUCUAAUACAUUUGGCCUUUAAAUGUAUAAACAUGUGUAAAUCUGGUAUUUCUUUAAAGUAAAAUACAAGUUUAUUUUAAAAAUCACUUUGAAUAAAUAUCAUAGUGCUCUGAAUGAGAAAUGGCCCCCACAGGCUCAUGUGUUUGAAUGCUUGGGCUCCAAUUAGUAGAACUGUUUAGGAAGGAUCAGGAGGCGUGACCUUGUUGGAGAUGUGUCUCUGGGGGCAAAAGACGUACGCCAUUCCCAGUGCCCUCUCUCACUCCCUAAGGGGACAAGAUGUAGGUUCUCAGUUACCACUCCAGCCACCUACUACCAUGCCCUGCUCUGCCAUCACACAUGCUGACCUUCCUGAACCGUAACCCCAAUUAAACUCUCCUUUAUAUGUUGCCUUGGUCAUGGUGCUUUAUCCCAGCAACAGAAAAAUAAGUAAAACAGAUAAGAAGUUCAAAAGAAUUCUCCUUAUGUAUUAAAAAAGAAACAAAGUCAGGCAUGGUGGCAUAUACCUAUAAUCCCAGCAGAGGAAAGAUGGAAGCAGUAAGAGUUUGAGUUCAAAUCUGAGGCCAGGGGGUUGGGGAUUUAGCUCAGUGGUAGAGCGCUUGGCAAGCACAGGGCCCUGGGUUCAGUUCCCAGCUCUGAAAAAAAAAAAAAAAAACCCAAAACGAAUCUGAGGCCAGACUGAACCACAAAGCAAGAUCUUGUCGGGGGAAGCGUGGUCAGGGGAGACAAAAACAAACUCAAUAUGGUAGGCUGACCUGGGAUGGGAAAGAAAGGCAUGCACAAUAUGGGAAUCCAUCACAGUUAGCUCCUUAACCUUGUUAGCAGUGAUCUAGGUUUAACUUCUGAAAUGGUUGGCUCAUAAACAUUUAUGUUUACUACUAGUUUCCAAAUGUGACAUAUAAGCUGGCACGUUCAAACUAUAUAUAUAUAUAUAUAUAUAUAUAUAUAUAUAUAUAUAUAUAUAUAUAUAUAUAUAUAUUCUCUCUCUCUCUCUCUCUCUCUCUCUCUCUCUGUGUGUGUGUGUGUGUGUGUGUGUGUGUGUGUGUUAAAAGAUGGUACUAUGUAUAUGGCUGCCUGAAAUUGACUUCAAAUGUUUUCCUCAGUUACACCCAUUUUACUUUCUGGUAGUCUCUCACUGGACCCCAAGUUCACCAAUUCUUGUUAGUCUAACUGCCUGGCUUACCCUGGAAAAUCCCAUCCCUGCUUCUCUAGUAUUAGCAAUAGGCAGGUGGCAAGUCUGCCCAGCUUCUACACUAGUUCUGGGGAUCCACACUCUGGUCCUCAUGCCUAGACAACAAGUGCUUAAUUUACUGACCUAUCACCCCAGCCCCAGCAAUUUAAACAACACAUGGAAGUCAAGAAAUAGACAGAAGAAAGUGUAAGCCACUAAUCUACCAAGUGUGGUUUCUAAAGUCUAUGGUGAAAACAAAGAGAGUAUUAGAGCUCUCACCCAUUGAAUUAGUCUUCAAUAAAGAUACACUUCCCUGGGCAUUAAAUGAGACAUGGGCUAAAAGGGUUUUCUGUUGUUGUUGUUUUUAUUUAAAGGUGGACUUAAACUCAAACAACUGAAAAAAAGGACUUCAUGAUUCCAUUAGACAGAUACUUGCCAAUAUGUAAGACAAGCACGCAUCAGAUGUUCUCUGAGAAGAAAUUUGUAAGUUUAGAACACUACACAGAUGGGAACUGGAUGCCAGCCUGUUGAAAGACUGCUCAUUUUUCUGUAUCUUGACUUACCUGUCUAUUUUUUCUUUGGUUUUAUAUAAACCCCUUAUACAUUCUAACCUGCAUACUCAAGAACACACAAACAAUACUAGAAAAUAUGAUGAGAGAAUUAAAAAAUUGAACCUCAAGAAGUGUGUAAAAUGCAGAGCUUCAGUUUUUAAUUUUUUAUUUUUUUCUUUUGAGACAGGAUCUCUCUAUGAAGUCCUGGCUGGCCUGGAACUUGGUGUGUAGACAAGUCACGGUUCAAACUUAAGAAAGAUCCACCUGCCUCUAUCUUGUAAGCACUGGAACAAAAGAUGUGCACCUUGCAAAUGCCUUAUUUUUAUAAAAAUGCAUUAAUUGAUCUAUAUAGGCAUAAGAAUUAGUAAUCAAUGUACACUUAGUUUGAAGACUAGCUACAUAAUUUUCACUUGAAACAAAAGGGUUAAUCACUCACUGUGUACCAGGAACUGUUCCAGACACUGAGGAUACGAAGAUGAAGACGACGCGAUUUCUUCUGUCAAGGAGCUCAUAGUCUGGUGAAGAGACAACCCUGCAAACACAAACAGUUUUCAGUGUGACACAGAAUGCCAAGUCCUUCCUCUGGAACGCACGAGAGAAGCAAAGAACCUUCAGUCAGAGAGCAGAGGCAUCACAGCAAAGUAGCCUGAAAAAAGGUGCCUAGUAUGACUGCCCUCCAGAGAGAGUCAGACGCAGAUACUUACACCCAAUCAAUGGACAGAAGCUGGGGACCUUUGUGGUUGAAUUAGGAAAAGGCUGGAAGAAACUGAGGAGGCUGCCAACGCCACAGGAAGACCAGCAGUCUCGACUAACCUGGACCCCAGAGAUCUCUCAGACACUGAUCACCAACCAGGCAGCAUACACCAGCUGAGAUGAGGCCCCCAACACACAUACAGCAGAGGACUGCUGGGUUUGGGUUCAGUCAGAGAAGAUGCACCUAACCCUCAAGAGACUUGAGGCCCCAGGGAAGUCUGGUGGGGUGAGGGUGGGGGACAUCCAAUUGGAGUGGGGGAGGGGGGUCAGGAGCUGGGGGGCAGGAAAUAUGGGAUGCUAUUUUGUAUUCCUGCACAAAACAUCAUGACCAAGAAGGAAGUUGGGGAGGAAAGGAUUUAUUCACUUCCACAUUGCUGUUCAUCACCAAAGGAAGUCAGGACAGGAACUCAAACAGAGCAGGAACUUGGAGGCAGGAGCUGAUGCAGAGGCCAUGGAGAGGUGCUGCUUACUGACUUGCUCAGCUUACUUUCUUAUAGCACCCAGGACCACCAGCUCAGGCACGGUACUACCCACAAUGCCUCCCGCCUUGAUCACUAGUUGAGAAAAUGCCUUACUUUUAGACCUCAUGGAGGCAUUUCCUCAAGGGAGGCUCCUUCCUCUGUGAUAACUCCAGCUUGUGUCAAGUUGACACACAAAGCAAUCAGCACAGAUGAGGAACAGUCAGAAGGCAGACGAGUAAGGGGAACAGGGGUUGGGGGUGGGGGGCAAGGGAUAAAUACUGGACUGUAAAAAAAGAUUAAAGAAUAUAAAAAAAGAAUGCAGGUGAAGCAGUAGUUCAAAGUUUGAGACUUGCCUUUGCCACAAUUUCUGUCAGUUGUAAAGCGCAUGGCUAUUUCCGGGUUUCAAAUGUGACAGUGUAGUGUGAUUGCCCAUCAUAGAACUAUGAGACAGUGCUUGGUGGAAUGAGUUGGGUGGAAAAGUAUUGCUCAAAUGAACCACUGCUCCGUGGCAUGCAAUUCUGUAUUUGUAUUAUUACAUCUACCACACUGGUUUUACAAGUUGGAAUUUGACAUUCUUUUUAAGAAUGUAGGCUUCUUCCGUCUGUUUCUAUUUACUCACUAGACCCCAGCAUGCUGUCUUCCUCACUUGCCUGAAUGAGCCUUCAAAACAAAUGAGUUCAUAGCUCACCUUUUUUUCUAAACACCAUAAAGUUAAAGAUUUUUUCAUCUCCCUCUCAGCUUUAUUAAGGUAUAUUUGGCAAGUAAGAAUUAUGUGCUUUUGUAAUAUAUACCAUGAUAUUAUGAUGCAUGAAAUCUUUGUGAAAUAAUUAAAUCAAUUAUCAAAAAAUAUAAACCAGAAUAUAAUUUAAGUUAAAGAAAGAAUGUUACUUCUACAUAGAAAGAUAAUUUAUAAAAAGAUAUAUUGCUAGGUAUUUUAAUAGCUUUAUAAAUCAAAAUGACAGGGAGGUAGCACAUGGUUAGCACAGGACCGCCCAUCUACAUUUUAAUUGUCCAUCUUUGGAAGUUUCUCAGUUGUGUGGAAAUUGGGACAGUCAAUAGACUUAUGGCUCAGUGUAAUGAAUCCAUCUGCACUUAGCUCUUCUUAUGAUCUCAAACUAACAGAAUUCUGCAAAAAAGCAGUUUCCUACUUACCUGACUCAAAACUGUAGAAAGAACCAGAUCACUUAUACAGAAUAAAGCAGGGCACAAAAUCACACCACAGGGACUGUGUAAGAGAGGCAGGGGGGAAACACCCAACAUCUCUCUUAAUUCUCAGAAACAUUUUCAAUAAACUCUAAGUCAUCAGUUUGACUCCUAAAGAUCUAAAUUCUGCGUCAGCUUCCUAAUGUUCAGUCCCAUUCCAGGCUUUUGUUCAGUCCCACUCUUUUGUUCCCAUUCCAGGCUCUCAUUUCCAUGGUAAUCCCCCUUGUCACUGUAAAGCCUUCACCGCCACACCAGUACCACACCAUCUUGUGGCUUGCCAGCCUUCAACACUGUUGCAGAGAUGACCCUCAUCCUAAUCUGAUGGGCCCUUUUCUGCACACAACCCAGCAGAAGCUGUCUCCUCCACUGUGCUUGUCAGGGAUGCCCCUCUAGGUCUUCUUUGUCUAGGGAUAUUAGCAGCAGAACCUUUGAGCCUUUACUUGCAUGCAUUUUACCCUUGGCUACAUUUCCAGAUGGCUUUUAGGUGGCUUUUGUAUUGCAGCAUUGCUUUUUUGUCCUUUUACUUUUCUUCAAUACCAUCAUCAGAAUGACCAUGUGCAGGUCUGCCUCCCUCCCCUAGUUGUCAGCUGAGUUAAAAGAAUCACUUGAAUCCAGGACUUCAAGUGCAACCUGGGCAAAAUGAGAUAUUACAUGAAGGAAAAGAAAUAAAUUGUCAUAAUUUUUAUAAAGUAUACAAAUAAAUGCAAAAAAAUCCUCCUCAAAGAGAUCAGUUUAGAAAGCACUAUUUUACAUUAAAAUAAAUUUAAAAUCCUGAUUAAAUAGCUGAGACAGGGUACUUAAAUAAGAAAUGGAUGACAGAACACAGAUUUUUUUUUUAAGCUUAGAAUUACUUCACUGAAAGUAUGACUUUUCUCAUAAAACAAGGAAUAUUAGUAAAUGAGCCAUUACUGCACCAAUUUAAGUCAUAGCUGUUUCGUUUUAUCCUGUUGUCUUCCUCAAUCACACUUUAAUUUUUUACUCCACAGCCCCAUUUACAGAAGUUGCCACAGAAAGGUCUGCAGGAACCCUUGGCUGACACCAAGGCACUGAGUAUUUAAUGGAAGCUCAUGUUUGCAAACUCUGAAGACAAUAUUCUACAACACCACAAGAUGGUGAUCUUGCACCAUAAAAAGAAUGUUUUAAAAAGUCACUCUUUUUUUUUUUUUUUUUUUUUUAACAACUUCCCCAAAAUAAAAUAGUUUGCAAGACAGGACAUAAAAAGUAUGCAUGCUCUGUUUACUAGAAAACACUAGUUCAGAAAGGAAAACGUACUAAACUUAGCAGCAAUCCUUCCAGCUUUUAGCGCAAAGGAGUAUUUUAAAAACUCAGGGCUGGUGGCUAUACCUAGGCUGACUUCCUCCCCUGACCAACCCUACCUUAUCAUCCACAUAAAACCGUUCAAUUCAGCCUAUGUUUUUUACUAGUUAGGCCUAACAAUUUCCCCUCUAGUUAAUUAAAGAAGAAGUGACUCCUAUUUUUCCUUCUUUCUUUUGGUAUCAUUCUUUUAAGACAGGGUCUCAAGCUGAGGCUGGCCCCAAGCUCAGUCAGCAAUCUUCCUCCUAUUUCGGCCUCCAGAGUACUGGGGUCAUAGGUGUGAACCAGCAUACCCAGCUCAAAUGCCUUCUUUUUUUUGUUAAUCUUAAAAAUGCUGAUGGUAAGUUUCAGUUAUGUCAACAGGAGAUUACCCCUGAAUGGUGUUCAGCACUGGAAGCUAGGAACUUUGUUUUGUCCUAAUGUGUUAUUUCUCAAUAUCUUAUAACAUGCAAUAUUGUUUUCAAAAUGGUUAAAAACUAACUUUAAAGAAAAAAAUUGCACAUUUAGCAAUUUUUAUUCUUGCCUUACUGAGCAUUGUAGAAAAAUUUCCCACUCAAAUUGCUACCUGGUAACAAUUUUAAAAAUGCUAUUCAAGACUAAACACAUCAAAACUUUAGUACAAACUCUGAGACUAAAUUAGUCUCUUAAUACUAUUAUUCUUGGGUACCUGUGGGGAAUACCUAUAUCCACAGAUAACAGUGUCCACUAAAUGCAAUGGAACAAUAUCUGUAUAAAAUUACAGACAUCCUACAAUACACUCUAGUCACUUGUAGAUUUCCUAUUAAACACAAUGUAAAUCCUAUGUAAAAUACUUGUUAUGCAGUAUUGCUCUGGAAAUAUAGGGUGAGGGGGAUCACAAAUAUGUUCAACGCACUAAGAAUUUUCUCUGUAAUAUUCUCAAUACAAGGUUGCUUGAACCUGUAAGGGCAGGACCUACAAACACCGAGGGCUGUCUGAAUUUGCUGCAUCAUGAAGCAGCAAAAUGCUUGGUCAUGAGGACUUGGAGCAGCAAAGAGACUCAGGAACACAAAGCCCUGACUAUCCACCGAGCCCACCCCUGCUGACUAGGUUAGUAUUCUUCCACUGUGCACCGGGACCCUCAGCUAUGAACACCAAAACUAAGUUCCCCCAACUAUUUCGUGAUUAUUUCUAAAUGUAUUACAAAUUCUAAUUUACCACAAUUUGCACAGCCAUGAUCACAAUUUAUCACAAAAUUCACAGCCUAAUCUGGAAUUCCAAAGUGACAUUUUUUUAGAUUUGGAAAAGCAUGUUGGGGGAAGUUAACACAGAGAAGAGUUUUCAAUUCAGACAUACCUGAGCCCAUCCUCAGCUCUCCUAUUUGUAUAUAUUUAACCUCAGUUUGCUUUAUCUGAAAAAUGAGGUUACCAACGUGAAACAAGGGAAAAAGCAAAAGAGUGCUAAUACCAACCCUAGGCAAGUGGAAGAAGAAACUCUUGUUGGAGCCAAGAAUCCAGGAAAUACCUAGGAGGUGGAGGAAGUGAGAUCAAGGCUAGCCUGGACUAUAGAGCAAAACAAACAAGGAAACACAAACAAAGCAAUCUUAAGGUAAUUAAAAGCCAUCAAAUAAGAUACAUGCAAUAUUCUUUACUAUAUAUAAAUACUCUCCUUAAGAGUUUCAAAACACACAGUAAGAUAUAACUUCUUACUAAAGAAUCUUCACUCUUAGAGAAAAUUAGACAAUUAUAUAACCAAUUAAAAAGCUAAAAAUCUGUUCCAAGAAAUAAUGUAAUCUUUAUUAAGCUUAAAAUAUAGUAAAAAUACAGUUCAUUAUACACAGCGUCAGAAGGACUGAAAGUCCCUCUUACUUACUUGCUUGUCAGAACUUAUUUUAGUAGUAAACUCUGAAUACUUAUCAUCAUUGCCGAUGCACACCUCCCAGUUUCCUGUAGCUCAGGUGCUGCCUCAGACUUUCACUGCAAUUUUAUAUAAAGUGUAUGUGGAAUGCUUGCUUGGUCGAUUGCUUGCAUGCUUUGGGGGUUGGGGAGUGUAUGGAUGAUGUGUACCAUCUGCAUGUACAUGUGCACCCUUGGCGAGAGGGUUCUAGUCGUCACCGUCUGCAGCUCCUCUGCCUUAUUCUCACUGCUGUUUCGGACGAGGCUGGUAGACACAGCUGCAGUCCUUCUGCCUCUCCACCCCCACCCCACACACCUAAUCCUGGGGCCAGAGAUGCAGACAGAGGUCUUUUAUAGGGGUGCCUGGGAUCUCAGUCUACGUCUCAUGGUUGCACAGGUAGACUCUCAUCUACUGAAUGGUCUACCAGCCCAUCUUCUGAAACUAAAUUUGAAGCAGAUCUGAAUCAGUGAAUGAAAAUAUAGUACGAACAUCCCAGUGCGUGCUAAAUGUCAAGCUUAAGUCAGCAUACAGUUCUAUAAAUCGGAUGCUAUCAGUCUCACUUUUAUAUGAAUAGCUAACACACACAGUUUGAUAAAACUCCCUAAGUCAGGUUUACAGAAGCACUGUCAUGAGUAACAUGAGUACCAGAACUCAAAUCACGAUUUGUAUUUCCCUCUGUAAGAUCUGGGCUUUUAUUAGAUCACCCUUUAAAUAAAAAUUUAGAUUACAAAGAAAUUUUAAAAUGUAAGGUUACCAAAUUUUUCAACCUAGAAAAAUAAAAUUUUCAAAUAUAAUGUAUACCUCGCAUUCUCGAUAGUCACAUCUAAAUACUAACAUAUUUCACACACCACAGGACAAAAAGAAAUGGUCUAUUGUUGCCUUCUUCGCGGUGAAAACAAACGCAAAAACAAUGGGCUCCUCGGAAGAGAGGCCAGGUCGCCCCAGCUUACAAGGCAGCAGGGCUUGUUUGUCGCCAUGAGGAGUGCUCACAGUAACCUCUGCUUAUGUCCCUCUCCACCAUACUUUGGUUUUUCCCAGGAACUGCUCCCAGGGUAAAAGUCUAGAAGAUCUGACUGGGGCUGGAGGUUUGGUUCUGCAGUGAGAGCACUGGCUGCUCUUACACAGGUCCCAGGUUCAGUUCCCAGCACCCACGUGGUGGCUCACAUCAACUAUAACUAGGUUCCAGGGGAUCUGUCAUUCUUUUCUGGUUUCUGUGGACACCAGGCGGACACCAGGCACACAUGGUAUACACACUGAUGCAAGCAAAACACUCAUACACACAAAAAAGGUAAAUAAAUUUUAAAAAUUAAAAAAAAAAAAAGGUCUACCAUGUGUGGUGGUGCAGCACUAGGGAAGCAGAGGCGGGCAGGUCUCUGACUUUGAGGGCAGCCUGGUCUACAGUGAAUUCCAAGACAGUCAGAGCUACAAAGUGAGAACCUGACUCCAAAAACAAACAAAAUUGUUUUUAAAUCUGAUUGAAUUCUGUUGGUCACAGAACUAAGGAACAUUUAAAUAACAGAGAAGCAUGCAGACAUCACCAGAACGUAAAAGGAGUUUAAAGUUUUUUCCAUUUUCACUGACUUGAAACUUAAACCCUUUUUCAUGAUUUUCUUCCCAAGUUAAUGUCCUUAUGCUAAGCAAUGGCUUUUUCCCAAAAGACAUACCACGCCCACAGUUAACCUACUUUCUAUCCAAAAGCCCAAAUUCCAAAUGUGACACACUUCAAUCAAUGUAUCUAUUUCUGAGUUGCCUUGUCUAAGCUAAGUAAAAUGCAGUAAGACUAUCUAACAAAUCAUUAUAAUAUCUAAUUUAACUCCUUCAAGAUUACAUUUAGAAAAAAAGAAGAAAUAUCUUCACAGGAAUUCUUUGGUAGAAUGGGGGAAUGUUUUCAACAAGGAAGCCAGGGCCAUUUUACUUGCCUGCUCAGGGCUCUAAGCCCUGGGUAUCUGUCUUAAGUCUUUUAAAAAUCUGGAAGGUUCAGAUGUUAAGCUCUUUUUAUUUUUACUUUUCACGUGGGUAGGAAGGAACAUCUUACCUAGAAAAACUCAUAUUAGGGCGCCAAAUUAGAGUCAGUUUCUGACAACGGGUUAAGGUUCUCAAACAACCUUCUCAAGACAAUACACCCUGGAAGACAGGAAUAACUUAAUGCUUAGGAAACAUCCCGCACGGCUGUUACGCAGAGACUACACCUUGACCAACUGGUCCAUACUGCAUUAACCGAAUGAUUAUGCUAACAAAUUGUGGCCCCCA
This is a non-coding RNA of Rattus norvegicus (Norway rat), 12707 nucleotides long. NCBI's taxonomy places the organism in Eukaryota, Metazoa, Chordata, Mammalia, Rodentia, Muridae. The record is from RefSeq and is a predicted model, not a curated record.